AGAGAAGGAAGACCAAGGAAAUGAUUUGCUCAGGAUGAGGAAUGAAGAUGGCCAUCUUGAGCUCAAACAAACAGAAGUCCUCUGAUGAUCUCUUCAGCCAAACGAGGGGUUUUGACCAAGUGAUGCUCUUGAAAGGAGUGAAAGAAGAGGAUGUGGUAAAUUGUCUUCAGAGAAAAAGCUUCUCAAAAGGUCUUAAAACAGCUUGAAGAAUGGUCUGGGAUGUUAGGACUGAGAGAUCCUCUGGCUGAGAAAAGGCUACACCACAUCAGUGCUGGAUAUCAACCAAAAACUGUUUCCAGACACGAGAGAAGAAGAUCAUGAUGGGGAGAUGAAACCAGUUUAGAUGUGAUGAUGGGAAUCAUUAUUUUCUGGAACAGUAUCAAAUGUCUUAUAUGUAUCACAUGAUCUGUAUCACAGUUGACUGUAUGGGACUGUGUGACUUUUAAGGACAUUUCAUCACUCAUCUGUGUGAACUGAUUUAUAUAUGAGGUUAAUGUAUCUUUGAUGAUAAUUAUUUUCAUUGAAUCUUAUUUGUCUUGAUGCUACUUUAUCAACUUUAUAGUCUAUGCUUCAAUAAAAUGAAAAUGGUGAA
This is a long non-coding RNA of Carassius gibelio (silver crucian carp), 592 nucleotides long. RefSeq lists it as uncharacterized. The transcript is spliced from 3 exons. Lineage: Eukaryota; Metazoa; Chordata; Actinopteri; Cypriniformes; Cyprinidae. The record is from RefSeq and is a predicted model, not a curated record.